RNAcentral lists this non-coding RNA (761 nucleotides) under Tettigarcta crinita (hairy cicada). Lineage: Eukaryota; Metazoa; Arthropoda; Insecta; Hemiptera; Tettigarctidae. The record is from RNAcentral.
GUAAAGUUUAAUUCUGGCUUUAUCAUUUAUUAGAAAAUUAUUUUACAUGUAAAUAUUUUAUUGUUAAUAUUUUAAUCUAAAAGAUUAGUUAUUAAGUUCGCAGUAUUUAUUAUUAUAAAUUAAUAUAUUUAGAUAUAGAUAUUUUUUUUAAUACAGACUAAAAUUGUGCCAGCAGUCGCGGUUAUACAAUUUGUGUAAUUUAAUGAUUUAUGUUUCAGUUUUAGUAUAUUUAUGAUUUUAUUUAAAUGGAAAUUUAGUGAAAUAUUUUUUAUUUUGGUUUCAUUUUUAUAUUUUUUUUCUGGGAAACUUUUAUUGUUAAACUAGGAUUAGAUACCCUAUUAUUGAAAGUGUAAACUUAUUACUUGAUUAUUAAUAGAUAUUAUCUUUAAAAUCAAAGAAUUUGGCGGUAUUUUAUCCUUCCAGAGGAACCUGUUUUUUAAUCGAUAGUCCACGAUAAUGAAUACUUUAUUUACACUUGUAUAUCUCUGUCAAGAAUGUUUUAUUAGAAUAUUUUCUUUUAUUUUAUUUAUUAAAUGUCAGGUCAAGGUGCAGUUUAUAUUAAAGAAUAAAUGGGUUACAUUAUUUUAUUUUUGGAUUGUUUUUAUUUUAUAAAUAUCGAAAUUGGAUUUGGAAGUAAAAAAUAUCUUAAUUUAGAUUUUUGAUAUUGGUUCUAGAAUAUGUACACAUCGCCCGUCACUCUCAUUUUAAGGUGAGAUAAGUCGUAACAAAGUAGUUGUACCGGAAGGUGUGGCUAGAAAGAU